Molecule: small RNA, 96 nt
Filed under: Bradyrhizobium lablabi
Lineage: Bacteria; Pseudomonadati; Pseudomonadota; Alphaproteobacteria; Hyphomicrobiales; Nitrobacteraceae
Also listed under: 1 other name
Description: Rhizobiales-2 RNA
Rfam family: Rhizobiales-2 RNA
Source: RNAcentral
UUGAAAACGCUUCGCUAGUGGAUCCUGCGUCCGGCACGGGCGCCUCAUCCACCCUGUGCCGCACACGACCCGCCCGGUUGUCCCCCCGGGCGGGUC